UAAUUUUGCAGGUAGGAAGCAGGGAGUUUUUUUUUGCAGUUUUCUCGAACAAAAACGCUGAUGGAAUACAUAAAAAAACUUAUACGUUCCCGCUGCAAUCCGUCCGCUUGUCUGUACGUUAAUCUCGAGAACGGAGUUAGGUGAAAAUGUAGACCAGAUAGUAAUGACUUCAAUAAAAGGAAAUUGAUAAGUUGGACAAUUAAAAAAAGAAUUUCUUUAAAUGUUCCAUACAGAAAUUUGAUAAGAGAAAAAUUCUUUUAAUUCUACUUAUUCAAAAAUUAUGGUAAACCAUUCGAUACUUCAAAGACAAACGUGAAAUGCUAUCCUUGCAUCAGGAAAUUCUUUAUGGGGUUUUGUUUAUAGAAAGAAUAUUGGAAAUUACAUUAAAAAAAUCAAUUUACUGUAUCCAAGUAACGGUAGAAGAGUCAGAGAAGAAGAAGAAGAAGAAGAAGAAGAAUAAAGGAUGCUGCUAUGGUAACAUUUCAGAAAAAAC
Long non-coding RNA from Centruroides sculpturatus (bark scorpion), 493 nucleotides. RefSeq lists it as uncharacterized. NCBI's taxonomy places the organism in Eukaryota, Metazoa, Arthropoda, Arachnida, Scorpiones, Buthidae. The transcript has 4 exons. The record is from RefSeq and is a predicted model, not a curated record.